Molecule: small nuclear RNA, 21 nt
Filed under: Arabidopsis thaliana (thale cress)
Lineage: Eukaryota; Viridiplantae; Streptophyta; Magnoliopsida; Brassicales; Brassicaceae
Description: snRNA_02446
Source: RNAcentral
GCGGGAAAAUUUGAUAGGAAA